UAAACAAACACGCACAAUUAUAAAACAUGUAAUUAACCACACAUUUACUACUUGUUGUACAUAUGCAUGCAGACUCAAUUUUAAACAGAACAUACAUAAACAAACAGUGCAGCACAUACAUAAAUGUAUGCUACACAUAAUCAAGCACACACAAACCAUACACAAGCACACACAUUGUAUAAAACAAACACAAAUGCACAAAUAUAACUGAACAUGCACACAAAGCACCAUACACCACACAUAAAAACAUGCAUACAUAAAUGAACAUAAGCAAGCGAGCAUACAAAAAUCAUGAAGCAGU
This is a non-coding RNA of Pelobates cultripes (western spadefoot toad), 301 nucleotides long. NCBI's taxonomy places the organism in Eukaryota, Metazoa, Chordata, Amphibia, Anura, Pelobatidae. The record is from the annotation of a GenBank genome assembly.